Non-coding RNA from Triticum aestivum (bread wheat), 126 nucleotides. The record is from Rfam. Lineage: Eukaryota; Viridiplantae; Streptophyta; Magnoliopsida; Poales; Poaceae.
AAUAUACUCCCUCCGUCCGGAAAAGCUUGUCGCUUAAAUGAAUGUAUCCAGUACUAACUUGAUGCUAAAUACAUCCAUUUGAGGGAUAAGUUUGGGACAAAUUUUUUCGGACGGAGUGAGUACAUG